Molecule: long non-coding RNA, 1838 nt
Filed under: Oreochromis niloticus (Nile tilapia)
Lineage: Eukaryota; Metazoa; Chordata; Actinopteri; Cichliformes; Cichlidae
Description: lncRNA (ENSONIG00000028168.1)
Source: RNAcentral
ACACUGAAUUUGAGCAGAAACCAUAAGGAUACUCAAAGGACCUGUGACUCUCAGGAAAUGCAUCAAAUGAGAGGGACAGAUGAAACAGUUUCAAGACAAUGGCAGGAAAAACAUGCUGAAGAUUGAAACAAACCUUGGCUGGAAAUAUUUGAAGGUAUCUAGCCAGUCCACAAUGAAAGCUUCGUUGCACCCCAUGAGUCUUCUGGCAGAAAUGAUGGCGCCUGUAUUCUUUGGUUUCCCUAAACAUCACACCCUGCCUGUUUAUACGAGGCUCUUCAAUUAAGUCUGCACCCAAAGAUUCAAUAAGAGAGGGGAUCCUGCCAGUCCAAAGUGAACUCCUGAUGGACAUUGAAGUACUCCUGCAGAGCUUGUAUCUUCGACACCGUGUGCAUUAGAAACUCCACUGAGUCCUUUCCUUCACCAAGGCAGGACCCAGUGACUCAUUACUGUUGAUAGGUCAGGGGCAGGUAAUAUUUUGUUUCAUGUUUAUUCAUUCCUCCAUGGAUUACCAGCCAUAUAUAUGGACACAUGCUGUAUUCUCAAGAUCUAUGCUGUUUUGUAGGAAUAGAGAAAAUGAUAUGUUUAGUCUGUUUUCAAAUGGUAUGUCAAAUUUUCUCAUUGUUUAUCAGUAAUAUUCACUACCUUGGUUAUAUAUGAGCAUCUUUAGAUUUUUCUAUAUUUAGCGGUUGCAAAUGUAAAAUGUACGGUAAACCAUUUAUGUUCCUCAUAGUGUACUGUAUUUUUAGCGGUAAAAUACCGGCAGCUGUGGUUGCCAGGAAUUUACCGUAAAAUGUAUCUGGUCAAAAUAAAAUGCUGUAAUUUGUUAUACAAUUUCACUGUGUUUUUUACUGUCAAAGGUUUUAAUAAGGUUUAACAUAUUUCUGUUAUUUUUACAGUUAUUUACAAUAAUAGGGUCUAUCCUAUUACUGUUAAAUUAACAACAAAUUACUGUAAAUAUUAUUAUAUUAUAACUUUUUUUUUACUGCAAAUAUCCGUAAAAAGCUAUGGAAAGUUGCAUUUUUUACAUUAAAUUGCUGUAUAAUUGACAAAUAUAUUUGUUUUUUUCUAUCAUGAUUUUGGUAAAAUAAUACGUUGUCUACCUUAAAAUUUAGGGUUACAAAACCAGUAUACCGUAUUGUCUUUACAGAUCCCACAUUUUUUUCACGGUAUAUUCCUGGCUACCACAGCUGCCGGUAUUUUACCGUAAAUUUGACAGUUUUUUUUUUACAGUGCAUGUAGGGCAAUGUAAGGAGCUCUGUGAUUGGUUAGGAAAGGACAGACUGGCUACCUCGAUUUUUCUUCACUGCACAUCGAUCCAUAGCUUUGCUCUGCAAAGGCUAACAAUAGACUUUUGCUUUACAAAGACAUUUAGCCUCGGUAUUCACUCUCUUAACCCUGUAAGACCCAACCCAUCAAAAAAUAGCCAGAAAAUUCUGAAUUUUUGGAACUGAGAUGUUUAUUAACCCUUAUAACAAAAUCCACAAAAAAUGUUUUGCUAUAACAUGUUGUGUAUGAUAUAUUGUUAUUAUAUAUUUAUUAUAGAAUUUUUUGUAUCGCAUUUGAUACAUUGGACAUUUUUGGCAACUUUUUUUUUAACAACAAUGUUAUUUUUAGACAAAAAAAAAGUUUUGUCCAUAACAUUUUGAAAUGAUGGCAAGUAUUGAUCAUGUUGAUGAGAUAGAGGUCUAUCAAACUCAUGUAUCAAAUAUGAUACAAUGGGCAUUAAAGGGUUAAAAUGCCACUGGACACUGGAGUGAAAUGGAGCCCUGAUCCUCAGAGUUUUAUUGUUCCUAAUAUUUCUUAUAGAUAGCACAGAUAGUGCCCCACUGCAAUAAUCA